CCAGCAAGAUGAGUGUCUGCAGUGUGUGCCCGUCUCACCCAGGGCGACGGACUGCACAGGCCUCUCUUGUUUGCCUUUCGCUCAGAGGGCAGACUUGCUGAUGGAGUGGACAGAGGCUGCGUGACGUAUCCUUAAACAGAACGAGGAAGUGCUCUAUGUACCUGGAAUAAGAAAGAUUUCCUCUCCUAAGCAAGGAGAAUCUGAGUGUCGCUCUGCCCUGCCCUCCACGCGAGGGAAUAUUCCAGUCUCGGGGCACUGAUUGAGCAAUCCUAGGGACCAGUGGGACCAGUGACAAGGUGCACUGUGGUGGCUUCCCAACACUAUUGUUGGAAGCCGCUAACUUCAUCACGCUUUACAGAAACCAUAGAAAAUGAAUACAGUUAUAUUUCUCACAUCCGGCUUUUAAAAGGAUCAAGUAAAAACAAGGUAUAUGUAUAUAAAGUGCCACAGGGGCCUUGCAUAGCGCCUUAUACAAAGUAAGUACACCAUGGCCAGAUAGUUUAAAAAGGGACUCAGGCCACAGACACUGAGCAAAUGGGUUGAAAGGUUAAAGAUGUCUAGAUAACAAUUACAUGUUUAUUGUAUAUUUCAUAUAAGAAAUGAAGAUGAUCACAGGCUAGAAAGAAAUAGAAAGAUUUCAAGAAUCUUUUUAAUUUAUUGAAAAAGAACAAAGACACUUGUAGUAACGUGGAUACACCUAGAGAUUCUCGUAGUAGGUGAAGUAAGUCAGAAAGAGAAAGACAAACACCAUACGAUGUCACUUACAUGUGGACUCUAAAAUGUGGCACAGAUGAACCUGUCCACAGAACAGAUUUCAAGAAUUUUAAGAGGUGGAGAGAAUUUGGUCCUCGACUCCUGGAGAGGAGCGGAGGUGAAGGACACCGAGAGUCAAGGUUGACGUCCAGCUUCCGCGUCUCCGCAGCCUGCCAUCCACUCCUUCCUUUCCUCUCUGGGGACCUGAGGUUCCCUUUGCUAAAGGGGAAAGCUGUUAGGUGGCCGUGGAACAAAGUAACUAGCCCACUGAUAGACCAUCAGCGCCAUGGUUCACAUCUGUUUGUUUGUUUUUGUUUUUAAUUCAGCAUUAAUUUCCUUCCGGUAAACACUUAGGGCCCUUGCAACGUUGUUCUCUGACCUCAGAAUGGCCUAAAGCCUGGCACAAAGACAGUAACCUCGGGACCUUCCAAAGCAAUGCCCUCCAUAGAACUGGUCCCUGGAGGAGAACAGUCAGCCAUCAAAGGAAACAAUUUAUACCUUGAUUCAGGAAACAAAUUAUACCUUCUAGAAACAUUUGGCAACAGUGUGAUGGCUCUGCUUUGCCCUUGAUCCGUGCAUACCUGCGCAUUGCACUGUUUCCAGAAGACUCAUUGUAGUCAUCGCUGAAUAUUUAUUGAGAACCCACUGGGCACAGAGAAUUGUACCAGGCAUGUGAUCCAGAGAGAGUCUGCUUCCAGCCAAGUGCUUUUGUUUCCAUCCUGUUCUGGGAGUAAUAACAUACCUAAGGAAAGUGGAAUUCUACACAUAAUCAAACUUAUUAUCUGAUUUGAUCAUUAUUUUGAUUGCUACUUACAAUUUUUAAUAGAGGUCAUUAUUUUAUUACAUAGUAUCUUUCUAUAAUUAAGUUACUUUAAACGAAGACUUUCAUUCAGCUCAAGUUAGUGAGAAUAAUGUAUUUCUGAUUUUCUCAUCAUCCACUGAAGAAAAAUUGAGCCACAAAAAGAUAUUAUACUAUGGAACAGUUUUUUUUCCCCAAAAAAAUUUAGAUUUUGCUGUAUAUAUAAGUGGGAAGAUUGAUGGCAUUUAGUAGGAGAUAAGUUUCAUUGUUUCAAAAAUUAUCAGAAGUGUGUCACGGAAACUAAGUUCCUGGGGUUCCACGUGGGGCUUGAAUUCUCUGAUCAAAUUACACAUUUCAAGUUUUAACAGUAAAAAAGAUCACAUUGUUACAGUUACACAUAUAUUUUAUAAAAGACAAAGGGCCAAAUUGAUAAGGGAGAAAAGAAAAAUCAGUGCCUUUCAAAACAGAACUUCACAGUUUUGAUUGUUAGUGAGUCGGUUUACAUGUCAGGUAAACUUUGAUCUUAAAAUAUCUUUCACAGGCAUGAUUUUCUCCAGAGACUAUUUUCUGUCUUGAUAUCCGCAUAAGAGAAACAAGAAUAAAUAUCGUAUUCC
This 2166-nucleotide long non-coding RNA is filed under the name Sus scrofa (pig). RNAcentral describes it as "lncRNA (ENSSSCG00000055413.1, ENSSSCG00130003319.1)". The record is from RNAcentral. Lineage: Eukaryota; Metazoa; Chordata; Mammalia; Artiodactyla; Suidae.